AGCUUCUCGUAGUGCCUGUAUCAUAGCCAAUGAGGUUUUUCUGAGGCGCAAUUAUUGCUAAUUGAAAACUUUUCCCAAUACCUCGCCAUGAGGACUUGAAAUAAAACCAGGUCCUGGUGGAGGGAAGUUGGCACUGGUG
Molecule: small nuclear RNA, 139 nt
Organism: Sorex araneus (European shrew)
Lineage: Eukaryota; Metazoa; Chordata; Mammalia; Eulipotyphla; Soricidae
Gene: U4
Rfam family: U4 spliceosomal RNA
About the family: U4 small nuclear RNA (U4 snRNA) is a component of the major U2-dependent spliceosome. The structure of U4 snRNA from yeast and human has been reported.
Source: Ensembl